GCCAGCUUAGCUCAGAGGUCAGAGCAUUGCAUUUCUAAUGUGAUAGCCAUCGGUUCGAUUCCGAUAGCUGGCU
Tripterygium wilfordii is the source of this 73-nucleotide non-coding RNA. Lineage: Eukaryota; Viridiplantae; Streptophyta; Magnoliopsida; Celastrales; Celastraceae. The record is from the annotation of a RefSeq genome assembly.